This 508-nucleotide ribosomal RNA is filed under the name uncultured glomeraceous AM fungus. Its description in RNAcentral is "SSU rRNA". It matches the Rfam family "Eukaryotic small subunit ribosomal RNA", at positions 569 to 1078 of the family's 1831-position model. Lineage: Eukaryota; Fungi; Glomeromycota; Glomeromycetes; Glomerales; Glomeraceae. The record is from RNAcentral.
AGCAGCCGCGGUAAUUCCAGCUCCAAUAGCGUAUAUUAAAGUUGUUGCAGUUAAAAAGCUCGUAGUUGAAUUUCGGGGUUAGUAGAUUGGUCAUGCCUCUGGUAUGUACUGGUCUCACUGAUUCCUCCUUCCUGAUGAUCCGUAAUGCCAUUAAUUUGGUGUUGCGGGGAAUUUGGACUGUUACUUUGAAAAAAUUAGAGUGUUUAAAGCAAGCUAACGCUUGAAUACAUUAGCAUGGAAUAAUGAAAUAGGACGUUCGAUCCUAUUUUGUUGGUUUCUAGGAUUGACGUAAUGAUUAAUAGGGAUAGUUGGGGGCAUUAGUAUUCAAUUGUCAGAGGUGAAAUUCUUGGAUUUAUUGAAGACUAACUACUGCGAAAGCAUUUGCCAAGGAUGUUUUCAUUAAUCAAGAACGAAAGUUAGGGGAUCGAAGACGAUCAGAUACCGUCGUAGUCUUAACCAUAAACUAUGCCGACUAGGGAUCGGAUGAUGUUAAUUUUUUAAUGACUCA